GAGCGCCUAAAAACGAACUGAUUAACAGGGAGUCAUCGAAUGCCGCUUACCACCGUUGUACAGCACUGGACGAAGUUUCCUCAGACAGCAUUCCAGUGAGCGAUUCCGUCGUCGGUUGGGCUACAGAGUGUGCAGCUGAUCAAUGAUUCGUCACCAACCUCCAAAACGGACGAACCCCAGGAAAGCAAAGUCUGGGUCUCGUGUGAAGAAAAAGACAAAAUUUGCUGAAUGUUUGCCGUAAAAAGAACCGAGUGGAGUGACAAGUGAGUACGACACCGCAGAAGGUGAUCUUCGUCGUGGGACCGUCUCCGAUCAAAGUGCUUACCAAAAAGGGCGAUUUGAUGCUGCGUCCACCGUUUGAUAUGUGGAGCUUCUGUUAUCACAACGAGUACGACCGGGGAAACGAAAGGGUCAAAGCUGACACCGCGACACCUGUGGAACAUGUUAUGCGUGACCAACAUGCGGGACAACAGUGGCAUUACCGUGUUACCGAAUACGAUAACAAUAAAUAUCGACACAGUUGAAUGAAUCGCUCUUAUCCUGUGAGACUGCGCAUGAAGUACCCAUAAGGCGGAAUACCCAGGAAAAUUGUAAUCUAUUUGGGUAUUCCGUCUUCAUAGUGUAAAAACUAACGCGACGCUUCAACCCAACCCCGGCGAGAAUAAGGGCGAACAUCAGAGAGCCAGUGGAAGAUCCGGGCGAGAAGGAGGAGAAAGAGAGAAAAGGAGAGGAUGGAAAAAACAGGAAAAAAGGGGAGUUCGUUCGAUGACGUUGAAAAGUGCGGACGCAGCAGAUCGCGAAGGGUGUAAAAUCGGGCGGAGAAAGUGAACCCCGGACGAAAGUAGGAUUGGGAAAAUCGGGAAGCAUCCGACAUAACCUGGACGAUUAGCUUCUACCCGUCCACGACCUAGGAAGGGUGAUAUUGUGCAAUUCUGGUGCAACGUGCCACCUCUCGGUGCAUUUUGAGUGCUGUAUUCGUGUGUGUAAUCAGGCCACCUUUAGCUGAUUUCCCAUCCUGUUCACGUGCCUGCAAGGGAAUUCAACUCUACCCGCAAGCGUAUUCACCGGCUAUAGUAACGGUCGUACUCAUCAAGUGAAUGAAAAUUCGGUCGUCUACCGGCCGAAAUCGAGUUCCCCUCAGACCCUGCUAAGCAUCGGACGGAGAUUUCAGCACCACCUAGCACCUUGAUAGCCGUGAACCCCGUCUAACCCCUCGCCCGCUACAAGAUCCAUUCCGGAUACAGCUGCCCGUUUAUCGUCUCCGGCCAUGGAAUCUAUCUGCCGAUACUUCGUUCCUGGCAUGGGACCAAGCCACGCUCCUGCCGACCCUCCAACCUAUUCCAAAUUCGAGCCCCAUACGAAACGGACACUGAAAGUAUUAUCAUCGCCGGCCAUGGUAUCUAUCUGCCGAUACAUCGUUUCUGGCAUGGGACCAAGUCAAGCUUCUGCCGAGUCUCCAACCAAAUUCGAACCCCAUACGAAACGGACACCGAAAGUCUUAUCAUAGGACCACUCGCCCGGCGGAUUUCCGCCCAACCGCAAGGUAGGGAAAAGCAUCGAUCGGCCGCAACGGUACUAACAUGAAACUAACCACUAAAAUCAAAAAAACGAAGAGAACCCAUUUAAAAUAAAUAAGUAAAAUGUA
Molecule: long non-coding RNA, 1645 nt
Organism: Armigeres subalbatus
Lineage: Eukaryota; Metazoa; Arthropoda; Insecta; Diptera; Culicidae
Exons: 2
Source: RefSeq, a predicted model, not a curated record